This 253-nucleotide ribosomal RNA is filed under the name uncultured bacterium. RNAcentral describes it as "partial 16S ribosomal RNA". It matches the Rfam family "Bacterial small subunit ribosomal RNA", at positions 524 to 776 of the family's 1533-position model. The record is from RNAcentral.
UACGUAGGGCGCAAGCGUUGUCCGGAAUUAUUGGGCGUAAAGAGCUCGUAGGCGGUUUGUCGCGUCUGCUGUGAAAACUCGAGGCUCAACCUCGGGCUUGCAGUGGGUACGGGCAGGCUAGAGUGCGGUAGGGGUGACUGGAAUUCCUGGUGUAGCGGUGGAAUGCGCAGAUAUCAGGAGGAACACCGAUGGCGAAGGCAGGUCACUGGGCCGCAACUGACGCUGAGGAGCGAAAGCGUGGGGAGCGAACAGG